CAAAUUUCUUACUUCUCCGUCGGACCUCCGUGCAAGGCUUCGUGUCCUUGCUAUCGCGUUUGGUCGUCUUCGUCGGGAAGAGCAUUGUGUCAACCUGUCUUUGAGUGGAGCGCAGCUGAGAGGCAACGUGAGACCGAAGUGUUUCUAAAGAUCGCCUUCUAAAGCCACGUUUGACAAAUUGACUAAUACUGAGUACAGACUCCAGCGCGAUUGUCCCUGCGAGAGCAAACCACGCAUCAUUCACAUUCCCAAACAGGGUAGCUGGAGCACAGAUGUGUGAAUACGAGGGGCAGCCGCGCAAGACACGAAGCUUCCCUCCUCUGCUCCUGCCCAAUGAUAUGAGGCCGAAUAUGAAUUUCUCACUAUCUUUGUACAAUACAUCACAUUUAGUGUUCCUAUCGACCCGCUUACAUGCAGCAGUGUGCACUUCCCAGAUUGAUCACGCAUAACUGCUGCUAUGCAGUCGGUGAGACAUUCGUAACCCCCCAGCAAAAUAACAUUAGUAGGUAGUUUUGGGUGGAUUUUUCUCUUUCUCAUCUGCGUUGACAGGCUUCGUCUUUUUAUUUCUAGCGGAGGCCUUUAUUUUCUCUCUCUCUCUCUCUCUCUCUCUCUCUCUCUCUCUCUCUCUCUCUCUCUCUCUCUCUCUCGACUUUGAGAAACCCUUUCAAUCCUGCCUGGGAAAAAUAUUAAACAUUAAUGUGCUGAAACAGACAUAGAUCUUUGAACCAGUCAGUAGCAACGUCACACAAAUCGUAGCCUGCGCAUAACAGCGGUGUCUCCUGCUAAUAUAUAGGCUAAGAAACCAACUGAAGGGCUGUGGAGAAUAUAACGUGAACCCCACAUAAAAUGCUAGCAUGUGUAAUAUAUGCGUCAUUCAUCUCAGAAAAAUGAACAAAACUCUCACAGCUCGGGCAAUUAUUCCAUAUUAAUUUUACAAAAAUGCAGCAAAUAUUGUGGUGUAGAAAGCGUUCAGGUGUGCACAGGUGGGACUGUUCAUUUGUAAAAUGAAGACAUUUGAACUGGAAUAGAAAUAAAGCGACACCCUAAUAACCCGCAUCACCGCUGCGCCUCCUCAACGUAACACACAUUAAAUUCGCUGAGAGUGAGACAUAGUUGCCUAUUUUUUUAAUAGUAUAGUCACCAUCACACAACUUCAUCAAGCGACCCUUCUGCACAAGCAUAUCAUGGGUUGAGCAAAACGGAAGCAACAACCGAUAGAGAAAAAGAAAACAAACAAACAAACAAAACAAAACAAAACAAAAAAAAUCCAAACAAAAAUAUCAAGACGAAACAAACAAAAUGUAUUUGAAAAUGAUAUAUUAAAAGUGCUUUGAUUUUU
Molecule: long non-coding RNA, 1339 nt
Organism: Electrophorus electricus (electric eel)
Lineage: Eukaryota; Metazoa; Chordata; Actinopteri; Gymnotiformes; Gymnotidae
Source: RefSeq, a predicted model, not a curated record